AACGAACGCUGGCGGCAGGCUUAACACAUGCAAGUCGAACGCCCCGCAAGGGGAGUGGCAGACGGGUGAGUAACGCGUGGGAACAUACCCUUUGGUGCGGAACAACAACUGGAAACGGUUGCUAAUACCGCAUGAGCCCUACGGGGGAAAGAUUUAUCGCCAAGGGAUUGGCCCGCGUCGGAUUAGCUAGUUGGUGGGGUAAUGGCCUACCAAGGCGACGAUCCGUAGCUGGUCUGAGAGGAUGAUCAGCCACACUGGGACUGAGACACGGCCCAGACUCCUACGGGAGGCAGCAGUGGGGAAUAUUGGACAAUGGGCGCAAGCCUGAUCCAGCCAUGCCGCGUGAGUGAUGAAGGCCCUAGGGUUGUAAAGCUCUUUCAGCGAGGAGGAUAAUGACGUUACUCGCAGAAGAAGCCCCGGCUAACUUCGUGCCAGCCGCCGCCGUAA
Molecule: ribosomal RNA, 447 nt
Filed under: uncultured bacterium
Lineage: Bacteria
Description: partial 16S ribosomal RNA
Rfam family: Bacterial small subunit ribosomal RNA
Source: RNAcentral